RNAcentral lists this ribosomal RNA (403 nucleotides) under Verrucomicrobiota bacterium. RNAcentral describes it as "Verrucomicrobia bacterium partial 16S ribosomal RNA". It matches the Rfam family "Bacterial small subunit ribosomal RNA", at positions 355 to 776 of the family's 1533-position model. The record is from RNAcentral. Lineage: Bacteria; Pseudomonadati; Verrucomicrobiota.
UGGGGAAUAUUGCACAAUGGGGGAAACCCUGAUGCAGCGACGCCGCGUGAGCGAUGAAGGCUUUCGAGUCGUAAAGCUCUGUCCUAUGGGAAGAUAAUGACGGUACCAUAGAAGAAAGCCCCGGCUAAUUACGUGCCAGCAGCCGCGGUAAUACGUAAGGGGCGAGCGUUGUCCGGAAUUAUUGGGCGUAAAGGGUUCGCAGGCGGAAAUGCAAGUCAGGUGUAAAAGGCAGUAGCUUAACUACUGUAAGCAUUUGAAACUGCAUAUCUUGAGAAGAGUAGAGGUAAGUGGAAUUUUUAGUGUAGCGGUGAAAUGCGUAGAUAUUAAAAAGAAUACCGGUGGCGAAGGCGACUUACUGGGCUCAUUCUGACGCUGAGGAACGAAAGCGUGGGUAGCAAACAGG